RNAcentral lists this long non-coding RNA (162 nucleotides) under Suricata suricatta (meerkat). Its description in RNAcentral is "lncRNA (ENSSSUG00005008948.1)". The record is from RNAcentral. Lineage: Eukaryota; Metazoa; Chordata; Mammalia; Carnivora; Herpestidae.
CAAACUUAUCUUUUGCCUUUUUCUAUUUUCUCGAAGCCUCACACUGAUUUUCUAAUUAUAUUUUCAGGAGUCUGAAUCUUGAACUUCCUGAGAAGAGCUCCUGGGCUUCAGCGUUCUUACCAGGUCUCUUUGCAAGGAAAUAGACCAGUGGCUGCAAUCAAC